GAUGAACGCUGGCGGCGUGCCUAAUACAUGCAAGUCGAGCGAACAGACGAGGAGCUUGCUCCUUCGACGUUAGCGGCGGACGGGUGAGUAACACGUAGGUAACCUACCUAUAAGACUGGGAUAACUUCGGGAAACCGGAGCCAAUACCGGAUAAUAUUUCGAACCGCAUGGUUCGAUAGUGAAAGAUGGCUUUGCUAUCACUUAUAGAUGGACCUGCGCCGUAUUAGCUAGUUGGUAAGGUAACGGCUUACCAAGGCAACGAUACGUAGCCGACCUGAGAGGGUGAUCGGCCACACUGGAACUGAGACACGGUCCAGACUCCUACGGGAGGCAGCAGUAGGGAAUCUUCCGCAAUGGGCGAAAGCCUGACGGAGCAACGCCGCGUGAGUGAUGAAGGUCUUCGGAUCGUAAAACUCUGUUAUUAGGGAAGAACAAACGUGUAAGUAACUGUGCACGUCUUGACGGUACCUAAUCAGAAAGCCACGGCUAACUACGUG
This 497-nucleotide ribosomal RNA is filed under the name uncultured bacterium. RNAcentral's name for it is "partial 16S ribosomal RNA". It matches the Rfam family "Bacterial small subunit ribosomal RNA", at positions 28 to 507 of the family's 1533-position model. The record is from RNAcentral.